UACGAAGGGUGCUAGCGUUGCUCGGAAUCACUGGGCGUAAAGCGCACGUAGGCGGCUUUCUAAGUCAGGGGUGAAAUCCUGGAGCUCAACUCCAGAACUGCCUUUGAUACUGGGAAGCUCGAGUCCGGAAGAGGUGAGUGGAACUCCGAGUGUAGAGGUGAAAUUCGUAGAUAUUCGGAAGAACACCAGUGGCGAAGGCGGCUCACUGGUCCGGUACUGACGCUGAGGUGCGAAAGCGUGGGGAGCAAACAGG
This 253-nucleotide ribosomal RNA is filed under the name uncultured bacterium. RNAcentral describes it as "partial 16S ribosomal RNA". It matches the Rfam family "Bacterial small subunit ribosomal RNA", at positions 524 to 776 of the family's 1533-position model. The record is from RNAcentral.